AAGUACCUCCGAAUCCGAGCGCUCCGCGCUCGGAUAGGAGUAACGGCUGGUUGGCACAGCCAGCGGUUCGCCUGUUCGACCGUAGCGAGGGCCGUUUUGCCCCGCGAGAACAGGUCGCUCAAACGAACCGCGAACCCUAAUAUCCCAAACGCGGUCGGGAAUCCCCGUCCUCAGCGAGCGCCCGAAUGGGCGCGAGCAGGGCGGGGA
Molecule: non-coding RNA, 207 nt
Filed under: Halococcus morrhuae DSM 1307
Lineage: Archaea; Methanobacteriati; Methanobacteriota; Halobacteria; Halobacteriales; Halococcaceae
Description: Sense overlapping transcript RNA 0042 (sot)
Rfam family: Sense overlapping transcript RNA 0042 (sot)
About the family: It is associated with IS1341-type transposase (tnpB) genes, at the 3'-end in H. salinarum NRC-1. The tetraloop structural motif may be functional.
Source: Rfam by way of RNAcentral